GUUGCAGCCACGCUCGGGAAUGGGCCCUGCCAGCUCCGGCCUCGCACGUAGGCGAACCGCUGUCACCGUAAGCCCGGCCUCGCGACCCCCGUCCGAGGUCCCCACGAUCGUGGGCGAGUGGGGUCUGCGGCCCGCGGGGAUGGAGGGCCGCGGGAUUCGCCAGGGCAAGCCCCGACUGCGCAUGUGGAACUGAGCCAUGUCCUUUGUUUGGUCUGUGGAUUUGGACUUGGAGGAGGAGUCCAGACCGGCUGAGCAGGACUGAGUUCCCUGAACAGGCAAUGCCACCAAACUGCUGUCCGGCACUAGGGCCCAGAGGGCUUGCGCCAGCUGCCAGACUACCUUGUAACCCCGUUCCUGCUGCCUUGAAAGUCUGAGAAGUGUGCACUCCUUCAGCUUAGGAAAGGUGGGAAAGGAGAGGACCCUUCCUGCCCUUUCUUGAAUGGCCCAAGAUGAGUUCCAGGGCCUCCUGAGUUGUGCUCACGCCUGUAAUCCCAGCAGUUUGGGAGGCCGAGGCGGGCGGAUCACCUGAGAUUGGGAGCUCGAGACCAGCCUGACCAACACGGAG
Molecule: long non-coding RNA, 565 nt
Organism: Rhinopithecus roxellana (golden snub-nosed monkey)
Lineage: Eukaryota; Metazoa; Chordata; Mammalia; Primates; Cercopithecidae
Exons: 3
Source: RefSeq, a predicted model, not a curated record